GCUUGCAGGGUACUCGAGUGGCGAACGGGUGAGUAACACGUGGGUGAUCUGCCCUGCACUUCGGGAUAAGCCUGGGAAACUGGGUCUAAUACCGGAUAGGAGCCAUUUUUAGUGUGAUGGUUGGAAAGUUUUUUCGGUGUAGGAUGAGCUCGCGGCCUAUCAGCUUGUUGGUGGGGUAAUGGCCUACCAAGGCGGCGACGGGUAGCCGGCCUGAGAGGGUGGACGGCCACAUUGGGACUGAGAUACGGCCCAGACUCCUACGGGAGGCAGCAGUGGGGAAUAUUGCACAAUGGGCGCAAGCCUGAUGCAGCGACGCCGCGUGGGGGAUGACGGCCUUCGGGUUGUAAACUCCUUUCGCUAGGGACGAAGCUUUUUGUGACGGUACCUAGAUAAGAAGCACCGGCUAACUACGUGCCAGCAGCCGCGGUAAUACGUAGGGUGCGAGCGUUGUCCGGAAUUACUGGGCGUAAAGGGCUCGUAGGUGGUUUGUCGCGUCGUCUGUGAAAUUCCGGGGCUUAACUCCGGGCGUGCAGGCGAUACGGGCAUAACUUGAGUACUGUAGGGGUAACUGGAAUUCCUGGUGUAGCGGUGAAAUGCGCAGAUAUCAGGAGGAACACCGAUGGCGAAGGCAGGUUACUGGGCAGUUACUGACGCUGAGGAGCGAAAGCAUGGGUAGCGAACAGGAUUAGAUACCCUGGUAGUCCAUGCCGUAAACGGUGGGCGCUAGGUGUGAGGGUCUUUUCACGACUUUCGUGCCGUAGCUAACGCAUUAAGCGCCCCGCCUGGGGAGUACGCCGCAAGGCUA
This 805-nucleotide ribosomal RNA is filed under the name uncultured Actinomycetes bacterium. RNAcentral's name for it is "bacterial SSU rRNA". It matches the Rfam family "Bacterial small subunit ribosomal RNA", at positions 78 to 896 of the family's 1533-position model. Lineage: Bacteria; Bacillati; Actinomycetota; Actinomycetes. The record is from RNAcentral.